CGAAUGAGGAGAUUCAUCGUCAGCUUAUUCAGUAUUAAUGCAGGCUAUGAUGUGAUAAUAGAAUCCUUGUGGUCACUAGAUUAUACUUGCUUGUAUUAUUUUUGCUGGGUAUGUCGGCGUGCACUUCUCCUCUAGUAGAACGUCGCAACCCGUUGGAUGUUUAUCUAUGGCUUGAAUGGUAGCCUUUGAUAUUUUUUAUAUUGAAGACCUUCGAUGUCCUGAUAAACUGUUUGACGGUAUACAUAUGGUAUUGAGCCGCAAUUAUUUGCGUUAGACUUGCCGCAAGUAUGAUUUUAUUCUAGUAGUGCGGAUCUAAUGCCGUCGCUGGACAAAGUCUGCUGUUAGCUGUGUAAUGUCUUUAACUGGCUUAUUUACCGGUUAGCGAUG
RNAcentral lists this ribosomal RNA (387 nucleotides) under Ichneumonidae sp. HD-044. RNAcentral's name for it is "partial 28S ribosomal RNA". The record is from RNAcentral. Lineage: Eukaryota; Metazoa; Arthropoda; Insecta; Hymenoptera; Ichneumonidae.